Molecule: unclassified non-coding RNA, 488 nt
Filed under: Hevea brasiliensis (rubber tree)
Lineage: Eukaryota; Viridiplantae; Streptophyta; Magnoliopsida; Malpighiales; Euphorbiaceae
Source: RNAcentral
AUUCCUUAUGACAAUCAGGCACAUGCAGGCAAGUAAUCUUGUCCGGGGAUACCUAUCCUUUGUCAAUCCAAUUAUCGAACUCAAAGCGCUACCACUUUCCUGUCCCACAAACUUUGAGACGACUUCUGGAUUGUUCCUGAACAAUGCAGCCAGAGACUCCAAGCUGGCAUCUCUCUGACUAAAAGAACCUUCAAGGAGGCCAAGAAGCUUCUUUAGAACCCCAGCAUCACUUAAUGAUUUUUGCUCCAGACUUGUCUCACAAGAAUGUGUGAUGAUACUUGCACCAAGACCAGUUACAUUUUCACUUUCACUAUUCAAUAAUGAAAGAAGGAAUUCCAUCUUUUUAUCUUGAAGGAAUUCAUAUUUUGGUGUUAGUUUAGACUGAUAGAUCAUUCUAAUGGAACGAGCACUAGCAUCCACCACCUUCUCAUCUGGAUUGGAAAGGAGCCGAACAAGGUAAGGGAAAGCGCCGGCAUCUAGAACGGCUC